AAUAUCCUAAGUCUAGCCCAAAUGGGUAAAGCCCAAUAGUAUAAACCAAUAAACCCAUACUCCCUUCCUCUCAUUCAACUUCACGUGAAAACUAAAACAAAGCAAAAACCUCCUUCUCUGUUCUUCCUCCUUCACGUUCGUUUGCUCCUCCUUGCGCAGCCACCACCUCACCACCGUCGGACGCCGCCUCCGUCGCUGGUAACCUCCUUCUUCUUCGUCGUCCUUCUCCUUCCUCUCCUUCUCUGUUUCUUCUUCAUCCCCGUUUUUCUCCCCUCCUCAAGCUUCUGUUUUUCCUUGCACAGCCGCCGCGGCCCAGCUGCGACCACCAAGCCAACCGCACCGCACCACCUGCACCUUCGCCGUGGCCCUGCCCAUUCGGCUUGCUCGUCCCUCCUUCCUCCUCCACGCAAGCACAGCAUUCUCUUGUUUCGGUUUGUUUGCGGCAGCCACCACCACCGCACGCACCACCAGGCCUGACAACCUCCGCAAGCCGCCGCCUUGCCGCCGCCGUGAUCUGUCCGCCGACCAACCCUUCCCUCUUCUCUUUUUGGCGGAGAAUUCUCUCUAGGCGACUUUUGAAAGUGUUAAAGUGGCCUAUCAGUUUGUUUACACAAGUCUCUAAGGAUCAAUAAGCAUUGUCCAUCUGCAGGUUUGAAGAUGUUGCAUCAUUGGGAUCGGGAAUAGAGAGCUUGUAUUUAGUUUUGAUUUGCUAAGUUAACUUGGGUUUGUUAAUUGGGACUUUAAACUUGUCGUACUAUUUAUAUUUCCUUAUUUUCGUUGGAUGAUUCUUGGGGACUAAAUCUGUAAUAGAUUAUUUAUAAACCUAAAGUUAGUUUUAUGUUUUCCGCUGCAAAA
Spinacia oleracea (spinach) is the source of this 855-nucleotide long non-coding RNA. RefSeq lists it as uncharacterized. NCBI's taxonomy places the organism in Eukaryota, Viridiplantae, Streptophyta, Magnoliopsida, Caryophyllales, Amaranthaceae. The transcript is spliced from 3 exons. The record is from RefSeq and is a predicted model, not a curated record.